UCUAAAACAUUCAGCCGCUAAUCAUCUUCAGAUCCCCCAUUUUAACCUCUGCAACUUAUCCUUCCCCGCACUACACAAGCUCCUUCACUCUCAACUCCCCACUCUCCUUUCUUACACACCCCUCCCCCUUUAACUGAUUAACGGCCACCACAGCCACCACCGUCCGGUGGUGGCAUGAAGACGAGACAGAGAGAGUAGAAGGUGGCACAAUGACAUAACAAGAGGGAGAGACGAGGCGGAGGUGGUCCGACGAGGACGUUCGACGGCGGAAGCACCGUGAGCGACGACCGCUAGCGGCGGAGCCGCGGCGGCAAUGUCUGCGACAACGGCGAAUCUAUUUCUGGUUCGGUGUGGGACUAUCGGGUUUCUGACGGGUCAGCCGGUUCAGGCUCGGUCCAGUUAAGGUUGGUUUCGGGUUCAAGUUUUGUUGAUUUAUUCGAUUCAGUUACGCUUCAGUCUUGAGUUGGGUGUAUCUUUGUUCAAUUUCGGUUCAGAUUCAUGUCGGGUCAGCCGGUGUAGUUUCGGUUCAACUUGGUCCAUGCUCAGUUUCGUUAACUCGAUCUCGGGUUUGGAUCUUGAUGAAGUUCGGAUUUCAUUUCGCGGCUCGGUCAAGCUGGACAAAGGCAAUCAAGCCAAUCAACCUCGAGUCUGGUUCAAGUUUAUUUUGAUUCGAGUUCGAUCGGACUCGGGUCAACUGUGGUUAUUCGGUUCGAGCUUCCAGUCCCGGUUCGAGUCUCGGGUCAUGUUUCGGUACAGUUCAGUCUUCGCGGCAUGGUCGACUCGACUUUUGGUUCCGUCACGGUGCGAGUCAACGUGGUGUGUCUUGGCUCGGUUCAGAUUCGCAUUCAAAUUCGGUUCGGGCAAUCACUUCACUUUCGUUCUCUUGGACUUUCUCCAAUCUUACUCGUGCGUUAUAUUCAAGGAAUCUUCAUACGCAACCAAGGUUAAUUGAUGAAGCGAUGUUACAAGAUGAAACAAGAUUUAGGGUGGACUAGAUACACACCUAGAUUAAUCUAUCUUUUGUUGUUAUGUUACAAUUCGAAACAAUGUUGCUAUUUUUAUUUGAAUCUUGUAUGACAUUUAGUCUUGAAAUGAAAUUUUGAAUUAAAUUAAUAUUGU
Molecule: long non-coding RNA, 1119 nt
Organism: Helianthus annuus (common sunflower)
Lineage: Eukaryota; Viridiplantae; Streptophyta; Magnoliopsida; Asterales; Asteraceae
Exons: 3
Source: RefSeq, a predicted model, not a curated record